RNAcentral lists this transfer RNA (73 nucleotides) under Camelus bactrianus (Bactrian camel). It matches the Rfam family "tRNA". From Rfam's summary of the family: Transfer RNA (tRNA) molecules are approximately 80 nucleotides in length. Their secondary structure includes four short double-helical elements and three loops (D, anti-codon, and T loops). The record is from Rfam by way of RNAcentral. Lineage: Eukaryota; Metazoa; Chordata; Mammalia; Artiodactyla; Camelidae. RNAcentral also lists the same sequence under 2 other names.
GAGGGUAUAGCUCAAGUGGUAGAGCACAUGCCUAGCAUGCACAAGGUCUGGGAUUCAAUCCCCAGUGCCUCCA